GCUGUAGCUCAAUGGCAGAGUAUCUGCUUUGAAAGCAAUGUGUACCAGGUUCAACCCUUGGCCUCUCCA
Podarcis lilfordi (Lilford's wall lizard) is the source of this 69-nucleotide non-coding RNA. NCBI's taxonomy places the organism in Eukaryota, Metazoa, Chordata, Lepidosauria, Squamata, Lacertidae. The record is from the annotation of a GenBank genome assembly.